Molecule: ribosomal RNA, 460 nt
Filed under: uncultured bacterium
Lineage: Bacteria
Description: partial 16S ribosomal RNA
Rfam family: Bacterial small subunit ribosomal RNA
Source: RNAcentral
CCUACGGGAGGCAGCAGUGAGGAAUAUUGGUCAAUGGACGAGAGUCUGAACCAGCCAAGUAGCGUGAAGGAUGACUGCCCUAUGGGUUGUAAACUUCUUUUAUAUGGGAAUAAAACGUUCCACGUGUGGGAUUUUGUAUGUACCAUAUGAAUAAGGAUCGGCUAACUCCGUGCCAGCAGCCGCGGUAAUACGGAGGAUCCGAGCGUUAUCCGGAUUUAUUGGGUUUAAAGGGAGCGUAGGUGGAUUGUUAAGUCAGUUGUGAAAGUUUGCGGCUCAACCGUAAAAUUGCAGUUGAAACUGGCAGUCUUGAGUACAGUAGAGGUGGGCGGAAUUCGUGGUGUAGCGGUGAAAUGCUUAGAUAUCACGAAGAACUCCGAUUGCGAAGGCAGUUCACUGGACUGCAACUGACACGGAGGCUCGAAAGUGUGGGUAUCAAACAGGAUUAGAUACCCUAGUAGUC